This 285-nucleotide ribosomal RNA is filed under the name uncultured Comamonadaceae bacterium. RNAcentral describes it as "partial 16S ribosomal RNA". It matches the Rfam family "Bacterial small subunit ribosomal RNA", at positions 1 to 293 of the family's 1533-position model. The record is from RNAcentral. Lineage: Bacteria; Pseudomonadati; Pseudomonadota; Betaproteobacteria; Burkholderiales; Comamonadaceae.
UGACGAGUUUGAUCCUGGCUCAGAUUGAACGCUGGCGGAAUGCUUUACACAUGCAAGUCGAACGGUAGAGGGGGCAACCCCUUGAGAGUGGCGAACGGGUGAGUAAUAUAUCGGAACGUGCCCAGUCGUGGGGGAUAACGUAGUGAAAAUUACGCUAAUACCCGGCAUACGAUCUAAGGAUGAAAGCGGGGACCGUAAGGCCUCGCGCGAUUGGAGCGGCCGAUAUCAGAUUAGGUAGUUGGUGAGGUAAACGGCUCACCGAAGCCAACGAUCUGUAGCUGGUCG